AACGAACGCUGGCGGCAUGCCUAACACAUGCAAGUCGAACGAGACCUUCGGGUCUAGUGGCGCACGGGUGCGUAACGCGUGGGAACCUGCCCUUAGGUUCGGAAUAACUCCCCGAAAGGGGUGCUAAUACCGGAUAAUGUCUUCGGACCAAAGAUUUAUCGCCUUUGGAUGGGCCCGCGUUGGAUUAGCUAGUUGGUAGGGUAAAAGCCUACCAAGGCGACGAUCCAUAGCUGGUCUGAGAGGAUGAUCAGCCACACUGGGACUGAGACACGGCCCAGACUCCUACGGGAGGCAGCAGUGGGGAAUAUUGGACAAUGGGCUAAAUCCUGAUCCAGCAAUGCCGCGUGAGUGAUGAAGGCCUUAGGGUUGUAAAGCUCUUUUACCCGUGAUGAUAAUGACAGUACCGGAAGAAUAAGCUCCGGCUAACUCCGUG
This 433-nucleotide ribosomal RNA is filed under the name uncultured bacterium. Its description in RNAcentral is "partial 16S ribosomal RNA". It matches the Rfam family "Bacterial small subunit ribosomal RNA", at positions 29 to 507 of the family's 1533-position model. The record is from RNAcentral.